RNAcentral lists this ribosomal RNA (250 nucleotides) under uncultured bacterium. RNAcentral describes it as "partial 16S ribosomal RNA". It matches the Rfam family "Bacterial small subunit ribosomal RNA", at positions 796 to 1041 of the family's 1533-position model. The record is from RNAcentral.
CAUGCUGUAAACGAUGUCAACUAGCCGUUGGGGACCUUGAGUCUUUAGUGGCGCAGCUAACGCGAUAAGUUGACCGCCUGGGGAGUACGGUCGCAAGACUAAAACUCAAAUGAAUUGACGGGGGCCCGCACAAGCGGUGGAGCAUGUGGUUUAAUUCGACGAUACACGAAGAACCUUACCUGGACUUGACAUAGUAAGAACUUUCUAGAGAUAGAUUGGUGUCUGCUUGCAGAAACUUAUAUACAGGUGC